CCUACGGGGGGCUGCAGUCGAGAAUCUUCGGCAAUGGGCGCAAGCCUGACCGAGCGACGCCGCGUGCGGGAUGAAGGCCUUCGGGUUGUAAACCGCUGUCAGAGGGGAGGAAAUCUGGAGGGGCAAUCCCCUGCAGUUGACCGAGCCUCAGAGGAAGCACGGGCUAAGUUCGUGCCAGCAGCCGCGGUAAUACGAACUGUGCGAACGUUAUUCGGAAUCACUGGGCUUAAAGGGUGCGUAGGCGGCCUGUUAAGCAGGGUGUGAAAUGCCAGGGCUCAACCUUGGCAUGGCGCCCUGAACUGGCGGGCUUGAGUGAGCUAGGGGUGUGUGGAACUUCCGGUGGAGCGGUGAAAUGUGUUGAGAUCGGAAGGAACACCGGUGGCGAAAGCGACACACUGGGGCUUAACUGACGCUGAGGCACGAAAGCCAGGGUAGCGAAC
RNAcentral lists this ribosomal RNA (440 nucleotides) under uncultured bacterium. Its description in RNAcentral is "bacterial SSU rRNA". It matches the Rfam family "Bacterial small subunit ribosomal RNA", at positions 338 to 773 of the family's 1533-position model. The record is from RNAcentral.